This 70-nucleotide transfer RNA is filed under the name Ictidomys tridecemlineatus (thirteen-lined ground squirrel). RNAcentral's name for it is "Spermophilus tridecemlineatus (thirteen-lined ground squirrel) tRNA". It matches the Rfam family "tRNA". Rfam says of the family: Transfer RNA (tRNA) molecules are approximately 80 nucleotides in length. Their secondary structure includes four short double-helical elements and three loops (D, anti-codon, and T loops). Further hydrogen bonds mediate the characteristic L-shaped molecular structure. tRNAs have two regions of fundamental functional importance: the anti-codon, which is responsible for specific mRNA codon recognition, and the 3' end, to which the tRNAs corresponding amino acid is attached (by aminoacyl-tRNA synthetases). tRNAs cope with the degeneracy of the genetic code in two manners: having more than one tRNA (with a specific anti-codon) for a particular amino acid; and 'wobble' base-pairing, i.e. permitting non-standard base-pairing at the 3rd anti-codon position. Lineage: Eukaryota; Metazoa; Chordata; Mammalia; Rodentia; Sciuridae. RNAcentral also lists the same sequence under 1 other name. The record is from Rfam by way of RNAcentral.
CAGUAUGUAGCUCAAUGGUAGAGCACAUGCCUAGCAUGUGCAUGGCCCUGGGUUCUAUCCCCAGUACUGC